GGGCCCGCACAAGCGGUGGAGCAUGUGGUUUAAUUCGAUGCAACGCGAAGAACCUUACCAGGGCUUGACAUACUACAAAUUCUUUUGAGAAAGAGAAGUGCCUUCGGGAAUGUAGAUACAGGUGGUGCAUGGCUGUCGUCAGCUCGUGUCGUGAGAUGUUGGGUUAAGUCCCGCAACGAGCGCAACCCUUAUUUUUAGUUACCAAUUCGUUGGGUUUUUUAGAAAGACUGCCGGUGACAAACCGGAGGAAGGUGAGGAUGACGUCAAGUCAGCAUGCCCCUUAUGUCCUGGGCUACACACGUGCUACAAUGGUUAAGACAAAGAGUCGCAAGCUCGCGAGAGUUAGCUAAUCUAUUAAACUUAGCCUAAGUUCAGAUUGUAGGCUGCAACUCGCCUACAUGAAGUUGGAAUC
RNAcentral lists this ribosomal RNA (412 nucleotides) under uncultured bacterium. RNAcentral describes it as "bacterial SSU rRNA". It matches the Rfam family "Bacterial small subunit ribosomal RNA", at positions 917 to 1333 of the family's 1533-position model. The record is from RNAcentral.